UUUUUAAUAUUUUGUUGUGUCUUGCUUGUUGGGAAUUGAUCCAGUUAAGUGGCUGACUGGGAAUAUUAUGCUAUCAAGUUCGUGUCUUGGUGCGUCUGAGAAUGUUGUUUCUUUCUUUCUUUCUUCCUUUUGUUGCAAACCUGAAAAGAAAGUGCAAUGUGAACCUGGAAGGUGCAUGUACUGCUGCUACUUUCGUGUGCCAACUGCUAUACUAGUUGGUUUGUGAUGAUCCAAACAAGUCGACAACAGUAGUACUGUUGGCAGUUGGUGUUUAAUUUCAUUGCUGCCAUGGUAUUUAUUCUUUCGACAUGUCAUGUAUAUGCUUGGUUCCCUGAUGGGUGCACUUUCUAACACGCGCAGGUGCAAGACAGAGACACGCCACCAUGCAAUGAUUCUUCUUCCACUCACAGGCCUCCCACUCCGGUAACUCUUUUUUUGCUCUAGCAUAGCAUAGCUGGUAAGCAACAGAUCCUCUCUUUUGCUCUCUCUUGCUCUAUUAUCUUGCUCUGCGUGUGUCCAUGACCACACACCCCUUCUGCUAAGUUAUGUUCUGGCGAUGGUGAUUUCUGUCUAGUGCUUAUGAUGCUUUGGACUUGUAGUUUAGUGAUGCCAAGUGUUGCAUCGAUAAUAUUUGAUCAAAACCACCCAUUUAAGUUGAAGAAUUGAAGAGAGCCUGCUGAAGAUUUUUGCAUGACUUGCACUUGAGCCAUGCAUAUUCAUAUUAUGUAUCUGUUUUCUUGUAUGUAUGGGUAUCUCAUUUUAACUAGUUGGAGGACAAAAAGCAUGGCACUAGCUCAAUUUGUGUUACCAUUCUAAAUAAAUGUCAUUUUCUUGAUUGGUCUGUUCAAUAUAUUUGCCCCAAUUUUUCUUAUUCUUCUCUCAUUCAUGUAAUAGGGUGACAGAGGAAGCCAUGUUGCAGUUUUGUUUGUUGCCAGCCCUGACUUCGGUCAUCCAGUGAGUCUGGCAUGUUGUUCAUCUGACUACGGUCGUCCAGCGAGUCUGUCAUGUUGUUCAUCUAACUACAGUCGUCCAGCGAGUCUGGCAUGUUGUCAUUUUCUAUAAAGCAGUACUGUAUUACACU
Molecule: long non-coding RNA, 1081 nt
Filed under: Triticum aestivum (bread wheat)
Lineage: Eukaryota; Viridiplantae; Streptophyta; Magnoliopsida; Poales; Poaceae
Description: long non-coding RNA (TAES_LNC006608)
Source: RNAcentral